GCGGGAGCGCGCGUCGGCCCGCAUCGGCUCGGAGCUGCUCGGCGCGGCCCGACUCCGUCCGACUCGGCCGAGAGCGGUUCGGCCCGGCCCGGCCGCGGGCACCGCGCAGCCCGCGGGCCCCGGGUCCCCUCUCGUGCCCGCUCCCCCGGGGGCUCGCAGGACUCGGCGCCGUGCCCGAGGCUCGCCCGAACCGAGCGCACGGUGCCGGUACUUUGUAACAACGAAACGACCGGAGCCGGGAUCCGUCAGAGACCCCCAGCCCAACCUGCAGCACCGCUGCGGCUGUAACACACGUGCAAAGCAUCCCCUUGCAGCUGCUCCGACAUUUGCUAAUCAUAAGGAACCGCUCCUUAAUGCUGGUGGCAGAAGAGGGGAGCGGAAGGGCUGGACACCCCCCAGGAGCCCCUCCUGGUACAGCGGUGGUGCUGCACUGCUGCUCAGGCCAAGGCACGUUCUUUUGCAUUCCCACUCCUGCUGAGUCCAGAAGAGCACUGUACCACCAUGCAAAGCCUCCCGAGAAGCACCCAGCCACCACUCAGCAUCCUUCACAAGCAUCUCAAGUUGCCAAAAACUGGAACAAACGACAGGAGGCAUCAGAUGAUCUGUCAGCUUUCGAUUCCAAAGAGCCCUUUGUGGUGGUGAAAGAGCUCCUCGAGCUGGGUGCCGGGGCCACCCAUCGCAGCGUGGAGAAGGUUGAACGCAGAAAGCAGCGUCUGGAAUUUCCUGGGCUGGGUGCAGGGGGAGCCGAGAAAGGAAUCAGCCUCUGAAAAUACAAACACCACUUCCACAUCUUCAAACAAAAAAAUGUUUGUGUGCCUAUUUUCAAACAUCUACCUCUUGUUUUUAAGCCUUGUAUGAAAAAUGGAAUUAAUGGUUUUGUCAAGUACCGAAGUAACAGAGAUAUCUUUUUAAAUAAGUCUAUCUUCCACAGAUAGAUCAUUUCAGGAGUCACGGUACCGAGGUGGGUGUUUCUUGCUGACACCGUUGUGGAAAUUCCAGCAUUUGCUUUCAAAGUGCAUUUUCCAUUUUCUGCAUAGCCCCGAGUGUGACUAUGUACAGGAGCGCCCAAUAAAGUACUCAACAAAAUUAUUUCCUGUGCUUCC
Molecule: long non-coding RNA, 1103 nt
Filed under: Numida meleagris (helmeted guineafowl)
Lineage: Eukaryota; Metazoa; Chordata; Aves; Galliformes; Numididae
Description: lncRNA (ENSNMEG00000010937.1)
Source: RNAcentral